AUACGGAGGUGGCUAGCGUUGUUCGGAAUUACUGGGCGUAAAGCGUACGUAGGCGGACUGAUCAGUUGGGGGUGAAAUCCCAGGGCUUAACCCUGGAACUGCCUUCAAUACUGUCAGUCUUGAGAUUGGAAGAGGUGAGUGGAAUUCCUAGUGUAGAGGUGAAAUUCAUAGAUAUUAGGAGGAACACCAGUGGCGAAGGCGGCUCACUGGUCCAAUACUGACGCUGAGGUACGAAAGCGUGGGGGGCAAACAGGAUUAGAUACCCCAGUAGUCC
Molecule: ribosomal RNA, 274 nt
Filed under: uncultured bacterium
Lineage: Bacteria
Description: partial 16S ribosomal RNA
Rfam family: Bacterial small subunit ribosomal RNA
Source: RNAcentral